UACGUAGGUGGCAAGCGUUGUCCGGAAUUAUUGGGCGUAAAGCGCGCGCAGGCGGUCCUUUAAGUCUGAUGUGAAAGCCCACGGCUCAACCGUGGAGGGUCAUUGGAAACUGGGGGACUUGAGUACAGGAGAGAAGAGUGGAAUUCCACGUGUAGCGGUGAAAUGCGUAGAGAUGUGGAGGAACACCAGUGGCGAAGGCGACUCUUUGGCCUGUAACUGACGCUGAGGCGCGAGAGCGUGGGGAGCAAACGGG
Molecule: ribosomal RNA, 253 nt
Filed under: uncultured bacterium
Lineage: Bacteria
Description: partial 16S ribosomal RNA
Rfam family: Bacterial small subunit ribosomal RNA
Source: RNAcentral